RNAcentral lists this ribosomal RNA (776 nucleotides) under uncultured bacterium. Its description in RNAcentral is "bacterial SSU rRNA". It matches the Rfam family "Bacterial small subunit ribosomal RNA", at positions 1 to 785 of the family's 1533-position model. The record is from RNAcentral.
AAAUUCGCGCGAUCGCCUUGAGUUGAUCAUGGCUCAGGACGAACGCUGGCGGCGUGCCUAACACAUGCAAGUCGAACGGGGCCGGGGGCAACCCCGGUUCAGUGGCGAACGGGUGCGUAACACGUGAGGAACCUGUCUUUCGGCGGGGGAUAGCCGGCCCAACGGCCGGGUAAUACCGCGUACGCUCUUCGGGGGGCAUCUCCUGGGGAGGAAAGCAGCAAUGCACCGAAAGAGGGCCUCGCGGCCUAUCAGCUAGUUGGUGAGGUCAUGGCUCACCAAGGCGACGACGGGUAGCUGGUCUGAGAGGAUGGCCAGCCACAUUGGGACUGAGACACGGCCCAGACUCCUACGGGAGGCAGCAGUGGGGAAUCUUGCGCAAUGGGCGAAAGCCUGACGCAGCGACGCCGCGUGUGGGAUGACGGCCUUCGGGUUGUAAACCACUGUCGGGAGGGACGAAGCUCUGACGGUACCUCCAAAGGAAGCACCGGCUAACUCUGUGCCAGCAGCCGCGGUAAUACAGAGGGUGCGAGCGUUGUCCGGAAUCACUGGGCGUAAAGGGCGCGUAGGCGGCCUGAUAAGUCGGGGGCGAAAUCCUGUGGCUCAACCACAGGGCUGCCUCCGAGACUGUCGGGCUCGAGCACAGUAGAGGCAGGUGGAAUUCCCGGUGUAGCGGUGGAAUGCGUAGAGAUCGGGAAGAACAUCGGUGGCGAAAGCGGCCUGCUGGGCUGUUGCUGACGCUGAGGCGCGACAGCGUGGGGAGCAACAGGAUUAGAUAC